CCACAAUAUGUCUUUCUUUUCCUUUUUCUUUCCUCCUUGAGUAAGAAGACUUUAGCAGCAACCAGUGUUGUUUGAGGAUACAUCCCAAAUGUUUAAGUAGAGGAACUGCAAGGUUGCGCUGACUGUGUCUGAUGGGACUUAAAAUGGAGAUCUCUUCUGAACAAGAUGGCUGAAUAAAACAGAAUAUGAGUUUCCACAUUUUGGUGAAGAAAUGAGUGAACAGGACCUCUGACUGACUCAUCCCAAGGGAAACCAGAAAAGCAAUAUGGAAAAUGUUACCCUGAAUAGCUGCAGACAAAGCUAACAGAGAAAAGGAGG
Long non-coding RNA from Passer domesticus (house sparrow), 318 nucleotides. RefSeq lists it as uncharacterized. The transcript has 3 exons. The record is from RefSeq and is a predicted model, not a curated record. NCBI's taxonomy places the organism in Eukaryota, Metazoa, Chordata, Aves, Passeriformes, Passeridae.